ACAAGCGGUGGAGCAUGUGGUUUAAUUCGAUGAUACGCGAGGAACCUUACCUGGGCUCAAAUGUAUGUUGACGUAUUCUGAAAGGGAUACUUCUUCGGACAAUAUACAAGGUGCUGCAUGGUUGUCGUCAGCUCGUGCCGUGAGGUGUCGGGGUUAAGUCCCAUAACGAGCGCAACCCCUAUCAUUAGUUGCCAGCAGUUCGGCUGGGCACUCUAAAGGGACUGCCGGUGUUAAACCGGAGGAAGGUGGGGAUGACGUCAAGUCCUCAUGGCCUUUAUGACCAGGGCUACACACGUACUACAAUGGCCGAUACAAAGGGCAGCGACACUGCGAGGUGAAGCCAAUCCCGUAAAAUCGGUCUCAGUCCGGAUUGGAGUCUGCAACUCGACUCCAUGAAGUUGGAAUCGCUAGUAAUCGUGGAUCAGCAUGCCACGGUGAAUACGUUCCCGGGCCUU
RNAcentral lists this ribosomal RNA (455 nucleotides) under uncultured Desulfobulbus sp. Its description in RNAcentral is "bacterial SSU rRNA". It matches the Rfam family "Bacterial small subunit ribosomal RNA", at positions 925 to 1382 of the family's 1533-position model. The record is from RNAcentral. Lineage: Bacteria; Pseudomonadati; Thermodesulfobacteriota; Desulfobulbia; Desulfobulbales; Desulfobulbaceae.